This 253-nucleotide ribosomal RNA is filed under the name uncultured bacterium. RNAcentral describes it as "partial 16S ribosomal RNA". It matches the Rfam family "Bacterial small subunit ribosomal RNA", at positions 524 to 776 of the family's 1533-position model. The record is from RNAcentral.
UACGUAGGUGGCGAGCGUUGUCCGGAAUCACUGGGCGUAAAGGGCGCGUAGGCGGCUUGACAAGUCGCAUGUGAAAAACCAGGGCUCAACCCUGGGGGGUCAUGCGAAACUGUCGGGCUUGAGUGCAGUAGAGGUAAGCGGAAUUCCUGGUGUAGCGGUAAAAUGCGUAGAGAUCAGGAGGAACACCGGUGGCGAAGGCGGCUUACUGGGCUGCAACUGACGCUGAGGCGCGAAAGCGUGGGGAGCAAACAGG